GACGAACGCGGGGGCGUGCUUAAUACAUGCAAGUGGGACGCAAGGAACCCACUGUGCUUGCACACCGUGUUUUCUUGAGUCGCGAACGGGUGAGUAACGCGUAGGUAACCUGCCUAUAAGCGGGGGAUAACUAUUGGAAACGAUAGCUAAUACCGCAUAAUAUUAAUUAUUGCAUGAUAAUUGAUUGAAAGAUGCAAGCGCAUCACUAGUAGAUGGACCUGCGUUGUAUUAGCUAGUUGGUAAGGUAAGAGCUUACCAAGGCGACGAUACAUAGCCGACCUGAGAGGGUGAUCGGCCACACUGGGACUGAGACACGGCCCAGACUCCUACGGGAGGCAGCAGUAGGGAAUCUUCGGCAAUGGACGAAAGUCUGACCGAGCAACGCCGCGUGAGUGAAGAAGGUUUUCGGAUCGUAAAGCUCUGUUGUAAGUCAAGAACGUGUGUGAGAGUGGAAAGUUCACACAGUGACGGAGCUACCAG
RNAcentral lists this ribosomal RNA (480 nucleotides) under Streptococcus mutans. RNAcentral describes it as "bacterial SSU rRNA". It matches the Rfam family "Bacterial small subunit ribosomal RNA", at positions 28 to 486 of the family's 1533-position model. The record is from RNAcentral. Lineage: Bacteria; Bacillati; Bacillota; Bacilli; Lactobacillales; Streptococcaceae.